UACGUAGGGUGCAAGCGUUAAUCGGAAUUACUGGGCGUAAAGCGUGUGUAGGCGGUUCGGAAAGAAAGAUGUGAAAUCCCAGGGCUUAACCUUGGAACUGCAUUUUUAACUGCCGAGCUAGAGUAUGUCAGAGGGGGGUAGAAUUCCACGUGUAGCAGUGAAAUGCGUAGAUAUGUGGAGGAAUACCGAUGGCGAAGGCAGCCCCCUGGGAUAAUACUGACGCUCAGACACGAAAGCGUGGGGAGCAAACAGG
Molecule: ribosomal RNA, 253 nt
Filed under: uncultured bacterium
Lineage: Bacteria
Description: partial 16S ribosomal RNA
Rfam family: Bacterial small subunit ribosomal RNA
Source: RNAcentral